UACGUAGGGGGCAAGCGUUGUCCGGAAUUAUUGGGCGUAAAGAGCGUGUAGGCGGUCCGGUAAGUCAGCUGUGAAAGUCAAGGGCUCAACCCUUGAAAGCCGGUUGAUACUGUCGGGCUAGAGUCCGGAAGAGGCGAGUGGAAUUCCCGGUGUAGCGGUGAAAUGCGCAGAUAUCAGGAGGAACACCAAUGGCGAAGGCAGCUCGCUGGAACGGAACUGACGCUGAGGCGCGAAAGCGUGGGGAGCGAACAGG
This 253-nucleotide ribosomal RNA is filed under the name uncultured bacterium. RNAcentral's name for it is "partial 16S ribosomal RNA". It matches the Rfam family "Bacterial small subunit ribosomal RNA", at positions 524 to 776 of the family's 1533-position model. The record is from RNAcentral.